CGAGACCCCCUCUCCAUCCUUUUCCAGGUCCGGUGGGGGCGGGAUUUUAAGGUAAAAACAGCAAUUACUUUUGCACCAACUUAUCUUCUAAGUUUCGCUCCCUACCACCUGAGUGUGUUUGGAGGCUCUGGCUCAUUGUACCUGCCUGAUCACCACGUGCAAGUAGCUGGGCCAGAAGGACCUCGGCACGUUACGGAAUAUUUACUACAGGAACAGGAUUGUUUUUUUCUCACCAAUGCUUAUUUAUAUAAAAG
RNAcentral lists this long non-coding RNA (254 nucleotides) under Pan troglodytes (chimpanzee). Its description in RNAcentral is "long non-coding RNA NONPTRT016630". Lineage: Eukaryota; Metazoa; Chordata; Mammalia; Primates; Hominidae. The record is from RNAcentral.